UGAUGUUCUAAAGAGAAAACGACUGCCA
Molecule: non-coding RNA, 28 nt
Filed under: Homo sapiens (human)
Lineage: Eukaryota; Metazoa; Chordata; Mammalia; Primates; Hominidae
Source: RNAcentral